GAAAAAUGAAGACAACUUCAAUGCUUCUUACUACAGUGAAGACUUCAGAUCCAACUCUGAUUUCACUCUAGUU
Small nucleolar RNA from Lagopus leucura (white-tailed ptarmigan), 73 nucleotides. RefSeq annotates it as small nucleolar RNA SNORD19. The record is from RefSeq and is a predicted model, not a curated record. The transcript has a single exon. NCBI's taxonomy places the organism in Eukaryota, Metazoa, Chordata, Aves, Galliformes, Phasianidae.